RNAcentral lists this ribosomal RNA (544 nucleotides) under Colletotrichum gloeosporioides. Its description in RNAcentral is "eukaryotic LSU rRNA". The stretch from base 203 to 356 matches the Rfam family "5.8S ribosomal RNA". The record is from RNAcentral. Lineage: Eukaryota; Fungi; Ascomycota; Sordariomycetes; Glomerellales; Glomerellaceae.
UCCGUAGGUGAACCUGCGGAGGGAUCAUUACUGAGUUUACGCUCUACAACCCUUUGUGAACAUACCUAUAACUGUUGCUUCGGCGGGUAGGGUCUCCGUGACCCUCCCGGCCUCCCGCCCCCGGGCGGGUCGGCGCCCGCCGGAGGAUAACCAAACUCUGAUUUAACGACGUUUCUUCUGAGUGGUACAAGCAAAUAAUCAAAACUUUUAACAACGGAUCUCUUGGUUCUGGCAUCGAUGAAGAACGCAGCGAAAUGCGAUAAGUAAUGUGAAUUGCAGAAUUCAGUGAAUCAUCGAAUCUUUGAACGCACAUUGCGCCCGCCAGCAUUCUGGCGGGCAUGCCUGUUCGAGCGUCAUUUCAACCCUCAAGCUCUGCUUGGUGUUGGGGCCCUACAGCUGAUGUAGGCCCUCAAAGGUAGUGGCGGACCCUCCCGGAGCCUCCUUUGCGUAGUAACUUUACGUCUCGCACUGGGAUCCGGAGGGACUCUUGCCGUAAAACCCCCAAUUUUCCAAAGGUUGACCUCGGAUCAGGUAGAAGCCCGAC